AGUGAACGCUGGCGGCAGGCCUAAUACAUGCAAGUCGAACGGCAGCACAGCAGAGCUUGCUCUGUGGGUGGCGAGUGGCGGACGGGUGAGGAAUACGUGGGAAUCUGCCCAGUCGUGGGGGAUAACGUAGGGAAACUUACGCUAAUACCGCAUGCGCCCUUCGGGGAAAGCCGGGGACCUUCGGGCCUGGCGCGAUUGGAUGAGCCCACGUCGGAUUAGCUAGUUGGCGGGGUAAAGGCCCACCAAGGCGGACGAUCCGUAGCUGGUCUGAGAGGAUGAUCAGCCACACUGGAACUGAGACACGGUCCAGACUCCUAACGGGAGGCAGCAGUAGGGAAUAUUGGACAAUGGGCGCAAGCCUGAUCCAGCCAUGCCGCGUGAGUGAAGAAAGGCCCUCGGGUUGUAAAGCUCUUUGUCC
Molecule: ribosomal RNA, 418 nt
Filed under: uncultured bacterium
Lineage: Bacteria
Description: bacterial SSU rRNA
Rfam family: Bacterial small subunit ribosomal RNA
Source: RNAcentral